RNAcentral lists this unclassified non-coding RNA (208 nucleotides) under Hevea brasiliensis (rubber tree). Lineage: Eukaryota; Viridiplantae; Streptophyta; Magnoliopsida; Malpighiales; Euphorbiaceae. The record is from RNAcentral.
GUUCUCUAACGGUCUUGUUAUGUGCCGUGAGUUUCUCCUUGUGUUACCAGUUAAAAGUUUGGUGCGACGACUAGGCGUAAACAAACUUCAAGUGUGCCGGGUCUGAAGUUUCCUUUGGAUCCUUUGCCCUAUUGUAAUAGGUUUCUUAGUUUUUAGACUUUGAACAUGCUUGAUGGCUGAAAUUGUAGUUGGGAUCAUUAUAUGUACG